CGGCAAAAGUUUUUGAAAACCGCGAAGCUGGGAAAUUGGUAACUAAUACGUCAUAGUAGGAAGACAUUGCCUACUCGCCCAUAAAUACUAAGUGAGAAUCACAAUCAAGCUGGUCAAAAUUCGUCGAGUUCAGAUACGGAAAAUAACAGUUACCAAAGCGAUGACUGACUGAAAUUAUAUUCCUGAGCCGUAUGAAAUUGAGUGAAAUUGAUGAAAACACCAGUGAAGCGUAGUCAAGCAGCGCCGAUCA
Non-coding RNA from Paramuricea clavata, 250 nucleotides. Lineage: Eukaryota; Metazoa; Cnidaria; Anthozoa; Malacalcyonacea; Plexauridae. The record is from the annotation of a GenBank genome assembly.